This 3660-nucleotide long non-coding RNA is filed under the name Gallus gallus (chicken). RNAcentral describes it as "lncRNA (ENSGALG00010026829.1)". The record is from RNAcentral. Lineage: Eukaryota; Metazoa; Chordata; Aves; Galliformes; Phasianidae.
GAAGCUUGGAUGACUGUCAAGAGUUUGCCCUGACAAACUUAACUGGCCAAAUGUCACUGGUCUUUAAAGCUACCGUGUCUUUACUCUGUCCUAAGCUUCUGGGGAACACUGCUUAGAAUCAUAGAAUGACAAGGUUGGAAAGGACCUACGAGAUGGUCUAGUCCAACCAUCCUCCCGUUACCCUUGCUACCAUGAGCUACUAAACUGUAUCUUGUAGGUCCUCAUCCAGACGCCUUUCUUUUCCCUGACAGUGUUCAAGAGGCUUCUUUAGCACCACUCCUGCUGAGCCCCCAGUACCAAGGGACUUGAGAUGGGAGAAAGAAUUAGAUGCUGAAGUGGCUCUGCAAAGUAUCCCGUUCUAUAACGGCACUCGUGAAAUAUCACGUUUCUGAAGAAACGAAACAUGCAGUUGAGGCAAAGGUCAUGUUCAGCAGUGUUGUCAGGCUUCAUUGUGGUAUUGGUGACUCUGCUUUUAAAAGUAAAAAUGGAUUCUUUCUUUCUGUUCCAUCUUUCAGAGAAUUUUCUUCUCCAAAAUAUUAUAAAUGUUGCAUCAUACGUGCAAAGACCUUUCUUUUACUGCAGAUAUAGGGCUGAGUGUCAUAAUUGAUAAAAGGAUACCAAGAUAAACAUCCAACCUUGGGCGUUUAUUAUUAAGGUUACAUUUAAAGUCUAAAUACAGAAUGCGUGGAAGUUAGCAGCUGAACCACUGAAGCAGCCUUUCUGCUAUACAGUGCAGUGUGUAAAUACCAGGGGAUCUUGAGGAGAGCGUUUAUGUUCUUGUUUUUGGACUGACAUUAAAGGCUUUGAAAAAUGAUUUCAUCUACAUUUAUUUUUGCAGUGUGUUCUUUUUCACUGUAACAUUGAAAAGGUUGUUUCUGCCUUAAUUGUAGCAUCUCCGUUUUGUAUUCUGGUUUUGUCUGCUUUCUAAAGUAUAGGAAUUAGGGAUCUGUAUUCUCGGUCUUAAACCUCUUUGUAACUUCUAGCUGUUACUUAUUUAUUAAUCUAUGCAUUUGGUAGUGCUAGACAGAGAUGACAAAGUGGCUAGCUUUUGCAGAGUAAGAAAGAGAGGAUCCAGCAAUUUUGCAUCUUUCAAGUAGUUUUAAGGAAAGGCUAGUGGAUAAAUCCUGGCAGAAAUGUUUAUGAAAGCUGUUCAUUUCUUCCCUCUUCACUUCUUGUAAUGAGAAGAUAUUUUGCAAAGGCUCACCCUUACCCUCAGAAAGCUGUCUUCUAGUAUUUUCUUGUUAAUGAAAUUUUAAGUCAAUGAGCUGUUCCCAAAUAGUAAUAGGCCAAGCCAGGAUGUGCAUUAGCAGGCUAAUGGCAGGCAUCCUCCCUUGCUGAAGGCAGUGUGUCUCAUGGCAGUCCUCUAGGAGUUGGCUGCAUCACUUGGAGCACUUAAUGUUGGCUCUGCUAAAGCACUUCUUGUCCUCCCAUCAUCUCCUUUGGGAGACUUCUCCAUUGACUAAUAGAUCUCACUUGUCAGGAAGCCUUUCCUGUUCUUCAGUCUUACUGAUCUCAGUUCCAAUACAUCUAACUGUAAUUUCUUCGACUACUCUUUAAUGAAAUAUUAAUAAAGAGAGGCAAAAAGCCAUCACAUUUAUAUUCAUACCAAAAAUGGAAACUAAUCUGUAGUUUGGUCUUCAUUGUAAGACUUGUGGAACUAACUGUUCAACAGUAGUAGUUAAAUGCUGCCUGCAUAUGCAUCAGGCUGAUACUGUCAGGACCUGAAGUUGGCUUGCAUAAAUCCAUCCAUAAAUAAAACUAUUGGGACUUGGAAUCUGUCAGGAACCGGUGUGUGUGUGCCUGUGACAUGUGCAAAAGCUGGCAGCUACUGAAAGCAAAGCUGACCUUCCUGGGGCUCCUGGGACGUUUGCGAGGUUGCACAGUGCAGCACUGGUUGAGGUGUCAUGGAGAAACCAGGGCUCUGGGUGUGGGAGGGGAACCACCGGGGCUACAUUUUGUGAGAAGAAUGGUGUUGGUGUGGCAGCAGCCUGCAUAGCUCCAUCCGGUGCAGUGGAAGCUGCUUGCAGCCAUUAUUGCCACCAAGAGAGGCUGGUGUGCAGGAAGCAGCUGAGAGAGGUUUGCACAAGGACUUUUUGUUUGGUUGCUCACAUCAUAUCAGUGUUUGGGCUAUUGAAAGGGAUUUGGCCUUUGGAUCUUGCUUGCAUCUCUAUUUAUUUUUGCCUAUUCUCAGUUCUCUUUGUGAAUACCAAUUUUCUGAGUCACCCAGAAUGAUUCCUGCCUUCAUUAGGGAUUCUUUCCAGCUUCCCUUUAACUGCCUGUAGGCUGCUGCCUGCCCCUGCCUCCCCCUGUGCACUUUGCUGCACAGACUUAGCUCUCAGUGUUCUGUAAGUCAUCUCAGGCAGCUGAAUACCUUCAUCCACAUGAAACUGUACUGUACCUUUGGCUCUUUGCAUAGCUUACAUUCUUCACCUGGCUUGUUCUGUGCCAUCCCUGCAACCCCUGGCAUUUAAGGUGUGGUAUGAGGCCAUAGUUUAUUCCAGGCCUACAGUAACUGUGCUUGAGGCUGUUCGAGUGAAAUGGUUAAAUCAGGAAGCUGAGCAUCCAGAUCCUUUAAUCUCUUUCUGUUACACUGUGUCCUUGUGUGUCAUCCUGGAUAAACCCAUUUACCUACUGGUGUCUUUAUUUCUUUGAUAUUCGUUAGUGUUUAAAUUGUCUACAAUAUCUACACCACACAAACAGGACAGCUUUUUUAGAAACCUAAAUUAAAAGAUGCAAUAUAAAUAAGAAGUAAUUGUAUGUUCUUUAAUGGGUAUUCUUACUUGAGUUGCUGACCUCUGUGGUACUCAAAAGCUUGUCAACAAGAAAUCAAAAAAUCAAUAAGGAAAAUAACCUGGGAUGGAGGAUGGGUCUCUAAUUGCAGCACUGAGUGUCAAUAGGAUAAAUGUCUUAAUGCUGAUUAAUGACUGUCCGUAAUGGUAUUCAAAAAAUGUAGGUUUGCUGUGGCUUUUUCAAAGUCCAGAUGAGCUGCUUGGAGCUCUGCUAAUGAUGCAAAUUAUUUAACGCUCAUUUGUAUGCAGUAUGCUCCUGCUUUGAAAGUACUUCACAGAAUUCAAGCCAAAUUCAGCCUUACAGCUCCACUGAAGUCAGUGCUUGUUUGUGCAUCUGUUGAUUGCUUUUCUUUUCUUUUUUCUUUUUUUGGCUUUUUUUUUUAUUUUGUUCUGUUUGAAGAGUUAUUUUCUUGUUGCACUGAUUUUAUUUUCUUAAAGGUAAUAUCUGCAAGGGGUUUGUAGUCACUUCUCCCCUCCCCAGUAAAGUAGCUGUAAGUACAAAUGCAGUUCUGUUGAUUCUCCCAUCUCCUUCUUAAGCCCUACAAAUGAGGACAAGCUAAGCAGAAAAUAGAGUUUUGUGUUCUUUCCUUUCUACUACUUUGCACCUCCUAAGCACAGUUUUGGUGACAUAUGGCACUUCUCCUAAAAAAAUGUCCUGCAAAGAAUCUCUGCCUGCCAUCUGAUGUAUCCAAGAAACUGAGUUCCUGUGGCCCAUUUCUGGAUUAACCCAACAUGAACUGAUGAAGGCCCAGGACAUGCACAAUUCUGCAGCACAGCUCUCCCAGCCUCCCAGCCUGUGCUCAUCGCAGUGCUCUCUACAACAUGGCUCCUCCUCCCGAGCUGCCUGCCCAUUCCUUCUGGCCCGCAUCUC